CCUACGGGUGGCAGCAGUGGGGAAUAUUGCACAAUGGGGGAAACCCUGAUGCAGCGACGCCGCGUGAGCGAUGACGUAUUUCGGUAUGUAAAGCUCUAUCAGCAGGGAAGAAAAUGACGGUACCUGACUAAGAAGCCCCGUCUAACUACGUGCCAGCAGCCGCGGUUAUACGUAGGGGGCAAGUGUUAUCCGGAUUUACUGGGGGUUAAGGGAGCGUAGACGGUCCUGCAAGCCAGAUGUGAAAGCCCGGGGCUCAAACCCGGGACAGCAUUUGGAACUGGAAGGCGAGAGUGACGGAGAGGUAGGCGGAAUGCCUAGUGUAGCGGUGAAAUGCGUAGAUAUCAGGAGGAACACCAGUGGCGAAGGCGGCCUGCUGGAGGAUGACUGACGUUGAGGCUCGAAAGCGUGGGGAGCGAACAGGAUUAGAUACCCCUGUAGUC
Molecule: ribosomal RNA, 440 nt
Filed under: uncultured bacterium
Lineage: Bacteria
Description: partial 16S ribosomal RNA
Rfam family: Bacterial small subunit ribosomal RNA
Source: RNAcentral